This is a non-coding RNA of Bactrocera oleae (olive fruit fly), 379 nucleotides long. The record is from RefSeq and is a predicted model, not a curated record. Lineage: Eukaryota; Metazoa; Arthropoda; Insecta; Diptera; Tephritidae.
AAUUGUGUGUGUUUUGGUUAGUAAAUAAUUUUGUGAAGUGUUUUCGUUCGUUAUACCAUAGUGCAGUAAAAUUUAUCUAAAUUCGCGGUCGCGUAAAAAGUGUUUAUUUUUCAUAUUUUUAAUAAAUUAUUAAAUAUGUUUAUAGUGUUGCUCUAAGGCAAAUUUCGAAAAUGAGAGUAAAAAAUACCGGAUUUUCGGGUAUAAGGUUUGACAACUCAAUUGCCCUGCUAAAUUGAACCACCUUUGCGCAUGCGCAGUGCGGCUAUUAUUACACUUCGCCAACUAUUGUUUUGUACAAUACAAGUAAAAAAAGUAACAACAGCAAAAAAUUGACUCUGUAAAUUCACAAUCCUCCACAAAUAUGGCAUUACAAUAUUCG